RNAcentral lists this transfer RNA (72 nucleotides) under Aspergillus ruber CBS 135680. RNAcentral's name for it is "tRNA-Thr (TGT) (tRNA-Thr-TGT-1-1)". It matches the Rfam family "tRNA". Rfam says of the family: Transfer RNA (tRNA) molecules are approximately 80 nucleotides in length. Their secondary structure includes four short double-helical elements and three loops (D, anti-codon, and T loops). The record is from RNAcentral. Lineage: Eukaryota; Fungi; Ascomycota; Eurotiomycetes; Eurotiales; Aspergillaceae.
GCUCGCAUAGCUCAGUGGCAGAGCGCUUGACUUGUAAUCAAGAGGUCGGUGGUUCAAUCCCGCCUGUGAGCA